UCCAACAUCGAACCGUGGAUUUAACCAGUCAUGGUACUUUUGUUCACAAACAAUCGGCAAACAGGUUGAUUUCUGGUAUAGGAAUUGAGCGGAUCAAAGAUUAGAAGAAGUCUUAAGUACGUUUCGAUCGGCGAUCGAUUUAGGAAACCGAGGCAAAGAGGGAAAAAAAAAAGCAAAAACACGACGACUGCUAGUGGAUUUAGCCAUUGAGAGAGAUGGCAGCCGACCUUCGAGGGCGAAGGCGUCGAGGAGAGAGCUGGUGUUUGGCGCUCGAAAGAAACGGGAGUCGGAGGGUAUGUUGUUGUCGUUGUUGUUGUUAGGAUUCUUCCCUCCGUUGCUUCCUCUGACGUGGCUCCGCCGCUUUUGUUAGAACACCCAGCCUCCAUCCUCCCAUUGCUCCACUCUCGACGGUCAACGCACUCCCAUUUCUCACUAAUCUCUUCAAAUAGUUUCUAUUAGAAGCCGUGCCGAGAGAGACAGCGAGGGAGACCUGCGGCCCUGUCACCCUUCUUCGAACCUCACCGGAAUAUAGCUCUUCAAGCUUCGGUAGGUUUUGAGAAAACCAUCCAACAUCCAGCUGAACAUUUGGUGGAAAAUGGCACCAAGGGAAUCACUAAACAUAAAGAGAUCAGGAAGUUUCAUUUCCCAAGUCGCGACAGGUGAUCAGUAAGACAAAGAUCAAGACAAUGCUUUCUUAGAAUAAGCAUCUCUUUUCUUUUUUAACUCAUACAUCAUUGUUCCAUGAUCCAAAAAGGCCCUUCUGAGGUGAAAAGCCACUGGUGACAUUCUCAAAUGGCUCCUACUGAAUAUGUUUUUUAUCUUUGUAUUUUUUGUUAUUGUUACAUUCCUUGCUUUCCACAGAGUGUGUGUACCUCAUGAUUUUUGUAGUCCAGUAAUUGAAACAGGAAAUAGUUUUCUCUUCACAGUUGUAGAAUGAAAAAUGUUUUUUGUCACUUCUGUGAGACAGGCUUAGGAAGUAUGCUGAUCGAAUGCAUUUGAGCCACAUGGUAAUUGGAUGAUUUUGUUUUAUGGACUUUUUUAAUUCUAUGGAGUGCCAUGCAAUUUUUUGUUGCAAAAUUAUUGACCAAUGGUCACUCAAUUCCCAAAGAAAAUUAAGCAAAGAUGCAAUUCCUUAUCAACAAUUAUGAUGGCAACGUUAACAACUCGUCGAGCCAAAUUAAUAAUAAGAAAACAAAUCCGUCUUCAACACUGAAGCAGAAAAAAAAAAAAAAAAACAUUUCAUAAGAAAACUUAUGAAAGCGAUUCCGAGUAUUCGUUAACAAUUCGUCUAGAAAUCGCAGUGUUAACAAAAAACAAAAAAGAAAACUUAUGAAAGCGUUACCAAUUCAUCUUCAUCGCUGUGGCUCGAAAAAACAAAAAAAAAAACAUUUCCUACAACUUGCAUUGUUAACUAAACCAAAAAAGAAAACUUAUGAA
Molecule: long non-coding RNA, 1437 nt
Organism: Musa acuminata AAA Group (dessert banana)
Lineage: Eukaryota; Viridiplantae; Streptophyta; Magnoliopsida; Zingiberales; Musaceae
Exons: 3
Source: RefSeq, a predicted model, not a curated record